GGAGAGGUGGCAGAGCGGUUGAAUGCACCGGUCUUGAAAACCGGCGUCGGGUAACCCCCGACCGUGGGUUCGAAUCCCACCCUCUCCGCCA
This 91-nucleotide transfer RNA is filed under the name Gammaproteobacteria bacterium. RNAcentral's name for it is "tRNA-Ser". It matches the Rfam family "tRNA". Rfam says of the family: Transfer RNA (tRNA) molecules are approximately 80 nucleotides in length. Lineage: Bacteria; Pseudomonadati; Pseudomonadota; Gammaproteobacteria. RNAcentral also lists the same sequence under 1 other name. The record is from RNAcentral.